RNAcentral lists this unclassified non-coding RNA (238 nucleotides) under uncultured fungus. RNAcentral's name for it is "sequence contains ITS2". The stretch from base 1 to 52 matches the Rfam family "5.8S ribosomal RNA", at positions 103 to 154 of the family's 154-position model. The record is from RNAcentral. Lineage: Eukaryota; Fungi.
AACGCACAUUGCGCCCCUUGGUAUUCCGAGGGGCAUGCCUGUUCGAGCGUCAUUAUAACCACUCAAGCCUGGCUUGGUAUUGGGGUUCGCGGGUUCGCGGCCCUUAAAAUCAGUGGCGGUGCCGUCUGGCUCUAAGCGUAGUAAAUCUCUCGCUCUGGAGUCCCGGCGGUUGCUUGCCAAAACCCCCUUUAUUUCUCAGGUUGACCUCGGAUCAGGUAGGGAUACCCGCUGAACUUAA